This 228-nucleotide long non-coding RNA is filed under the name Carica papaya (papaya). RNAcentral describes it as "long non-coding RNA (CPAP_LNC005624)". Lineage: Eukaryota; Viridiplantae; Streptophyta; Magnoliopsida; Brassicales; Caricaceae. The record is from RNAcentral.
AAUCCUUUUUAGGGGAGGGGGAAUGAUGCAAAUAAGGUUAAAAAUACUCAAGAUACUCAAAGAGCAUCAGAAGGUGACUUUGAGCAAAUUUCAAAUGAUGUAAACACAAAUACAGUUCCAAACCUGGAAAGUUUCAGUGGACCAGUAACAAGAUCAAAGGCAAAGAAGCUUAAAGAGUUGCUCCAAGUUUUUACUCAAAAAUAUGUGGAUGAUGGGCUGGCCAAUUGU